GGAAUGUGGCUCAAGCGGUAGGGCACUCGCCUGGCGUGCGUGCGGCCCUAGUUCGAUCUUCAGCACCA
This 68-nucleotide transfer RNA is filed under the name Marmota monax (woodchuck). RNAcentral's name for it is "tRNA.Ala". Lineage: Eukaryota; Metazoa; Chordata; Mammalia; Rodentia; Sciuridae. The record is from RNAcentral.